This 697-nucleotide long non-coding RNA is filed under the name Helianthus annuus (common sunflower). RNAcentral's name for it is "hypothetical non coding rna". Lineage: Eukaryota; Viridiplantae; Streptophyta; Magnoliopsida; Asterales; Asteraceae. The record is from RNAcentral.
AUGCCAAAUUCUACAGAAAAACACAAUACAAAUUUUUAUCUGAAUCUAAAACUUGCCUUCCAUUGUAUCGACCCUUCGUAUAAGCAGGUGCCUCCAUUAUCGUUUCUUCCAUAACAAGUAAAGGUUUCGUCACUUCCGUAAAGGGUUUUGCAGUUGCAUCAACAUCUAAGGUUUUCAGAUCUGAGCGGAUCAGGUUUUGGACGGAAAGACAAGCCGGAACGACGAUCGGAGAAGCUAAAAAUUCCAAUUUUUCUUCUGCGGCGGUGGAGUGGUUGCGGUAGGCGGUAGAGUGGUGGUGGUGGGCGGCAAUUGUGGUGGUGGUGGUGUGGGUUUGAGAUGAAUCAUAAAAGAGAAAGACGUACUGCGUUUUUUAGAUCUAGGGUUUUCAUGAGACUAAUUUGUGUUUGACUAAAAUGCCCCUCCUGAUGUUUUUUCUUUUUGUCACAUGUCAUAAUCCUAUUGCUUCCUAUCCUUCCUAGCCAAAAUAAACUUUCUAUUUGAUCAUUUCCCAAGUAAAUAAUAAUAACAAUGUUAAUUAGCUGUUUUUCCUUUUCUAUUCAAUUGUAUUUUUAGAUUGUAUUGUGGCUGUUAUUGACCAUCGUAAUUAUAGGCUAGUCAAUCUCCUUUCCUUGUAAACUGUACGUUGUAUUUGGCUUAUAUAAGCCUUGUAAUAUUCGUAAAUGAAAUACACUUCUUC